AGAGUUUGAUCCUGGCUCAGGAUGAACGCUAGCGGCAGGCUUAGCACAUGCAAGUCGAGGGGCAGCAUGGCCUAGCAAUAGGCUGAUGGCGACCGGCAAACGGGUGCGGAACACGUACAGAAUCUGCCUUUGUCUGGGGGAUAGCCCGAAGAAAUUCGGAUUAACACCCCAUAGUAUACGUAAGUGGCAUCACUUGUGUAUUAAAACUCCGGUGGACAAAGAUGACUGUGCGUCCCAUUAGCUAGUUGGCAGGGUAAAGGCCUACCAAGGCGACGAUGGGUAGCUGGUGUGAGAGCACGACCAGCCACACGGGCACUGAGACACGGGCCCGACUCCUACGGGAGGCAGCAGUGAGGAAUAUUGGUCAAUGGACGCAAGUCUGAACCAGCCAUGCCGCGUGAAGGAUGACGGCCUUCUGGGUUGUAAACUUCUUUUAUCUGGGAAGAAACCUACGAUUUCUAUUGUAGCCGACGGUACCAGAGGAAUAAGCACCGGCUAACUCCGUGCCAGCAGCCGCGGUAAUACGGAGGGUGCAAGCGUUAUCCGGAUUCACUGGGUUUAAAGGGUGUGUAGGCGGACUAUUAAGUCAGUGGUGAAAUCUCCGGGCUCAACCCGGAAACUGCCGUUGAUACUAUUAGUCUUGAAUUCUGUUGAGGUAGGCGGAAUACAUCAUGUAGCGGUGAAAUGCUUAGAUAUGAUGUAGAACACCGAUUGCGAAGGCAGCUUACUAAACAGCUAUUGACGCUGANGCACGAAAGCGUGGGGAUCAAACAGGAUUAGAUACCCUGGUAGUCCACGCCCUAAACGAUGAUUACUCGACAUACGCGAUAUUACUGUGUGUGUCUGAGCGAAAGCAUUAAGUAAUCCACCUGGGAAGUACGUCCGCAAGGAUGAAACUCAAAUGAAUU
Molecule: ribosomal RNA, 908 nt
Filed under: Lacibacter cauensis
Lineage: Bacteria; Pseudomonadati; Bacteroidota; Chitinophagia; Chitinophagales; Chitinophagaceae
Description: bacterial SSU rRNA
Rfam family: Bacterial small subunit ribosomal RNA
Source: RNAcentral